This 352-nucleotide ribosomal RNA is filed under the name Weissella confusa. RNAcentral describes it as "partial 23S ribosomal RNA". It matches the Rfam family "Eukaryotic large subunit ribosomal RNA", at positions 1306 to 1653 of the family's 3401-position model. The record is from RNAcentral. Lineage: Bacteria; Bacillati; Bacillota; Bacilli; Lactobacillales; Lactobacillaceae.
GUAGCCCUGAAAAUGGAUGGCGCUUAAGCGAAUAACCUAUACAUGGCUAAUGUUACUAUUUGUUUGUAGCAUUAAGUAGGAAUGCGUGAUGAAUGUUGCGAAGUAUAAUGUGUGAACAUGUAUGGAACGUUCAUUAGUGCAGAUCUUGGUGGAAGUAGCAAAUAUUCAAAUGAGAUCUUUGAAGACUGAAGUGGAGAAAGGUUCCAUAGGAAUAGUGAUUAUCUAUGGGUUAGUCGAUCCUAAGAGAUAGGUGAAAUCCGUUGAAAGGUUUUUUCUUGAUUGAAAAACGCUUAUCGAAAGGGAAUCAGGUUAAUAUUCCUGAACGAAUCAGUUGGGUAAACGGUAACGUGUA